This 482-nucleotide ribosomal RNA is filed under the name uncultured bacterium. Its description in RNAcentral is "partial 16S ribosomal RNA". It matches the Rfam family "Bacterial small subunit ribosomal RNA", at positions 30 to 507 of the family's 1533-position model. The record is from RNAcentral.
AUUGAACGCUGGCGGCAUGCCUUACACAUGCAAGUCGAACGGUAACGGGCCUUCGGGUGCCGACGAGUGGCGAACGGGUGAGUAAUACAUCGGAACGUGCCCGAUCGUGGGGGAUAACGAGGCGAAAGCUUUGCUAAUACCGCAUACGAUCUACGGAUGAAAGCAGGGGACCGCAAGGCCUUGCGCGGACGGAGCGGCCGAUGGCAGAUUAGGUAGUUGGUGGGAUAAAAGCUUACCAAGCCGACGAUCUGUAGCUGGUCUGAGAGGAUGAUCAGCCACACUGGGACUGAGACACGGCCCAGACUCCUACGGGAGGCAGCAGUGGGGAAUUUUGGACAAUGGGCGCAAGCCUGAUCCAGCCAUGCCGCGUGCAGGAUGACGGCCUUCGGGUUGUAAACUGCUUUUGUACGGAACGAAAAGCCUUCUUUUAAUACAGGAGGGUCAUGACGGUACCGUAAGAAUAAGCACCGGCUAACUACGUG